Molecule: microRNA precursor, 111 nt
Filed under: Medicago truncatula (barrel medic)
Lineage: Eukaryota; Viridiplantae; Streptophyta; Magnoliopsida; Fabales; Fabaceae
Description: MIR5284 microRNA precursor family
Rfam family: MIR5284 microRNA precursor family
Source: Rfam by way of RNAcentral
CUGUUAUUUCAGAUUCCUCCACUUUUGAUCCCUCAUUUUACGUGCCAUGUAUGCAGAUUAUGCUGACGUGAUGGAAUGAGCGAUCAAAAGUGGAAGAAUUUGAAAUUACAG